CGGGGUGUAGCUCAGCUUGGUAGAGCACACCCCCACAGGGGUGUUGUCGGUGGUUCAAAUCCAUUCACCCCGACCA
RNAcentral lists this transfer RNA (76 nucleotides) under Minisyncoccota bacterium. Its description in RNAcentral is "tRNA-OTHER". It matches the Rfam family "tRNA". From Rfam's summary of the family: Transfer RNA (tRNA) molecules are approximately 80 nucleotides in length. The record is from RNAcentral. Lineage: Bacteria; Bacillati; Minisyncoccota.